UAAGCAUAUCAAUAAGCGGAGGAAAAGAAACUAACAAGGAUUCCCCUAGUAACUGCGAGUGAAGAGGGAAAAGCUCAAAUUUUGAAUCUGGCGGUCUUUAGGCCGUCCGAGUUGUAAUCUAGAGAAGCGUUUUCCGCGCUGGACCGUGUAUAAGUUUCCUGGAAUGGAACGUCGUAGAGGGUGAGAAUCCCGUCUUUGACACGGACGACCAGGGCUAUGUGAUGCGCUCUCGACGAGUCGAGUUGUUUGGGAAUGCAGCUCAAAUAGGGUGGUAAAUUCCAUCUAAAGCUAAAUACAGGCGAGAGACCGAUAGCGAACAAGUACCGUGAGGGAAAGAUGAAAAGAACUUUGGAAAGAGAGUUAAACAGUACGUGAAAUUGCUGAAAGGGAAACGCUUGAUGUCAGUCGCGUCGACCGGGGAUCAGCCUUGCUUAAUCGCUCGGCGUACUUCCUGGUGGACGGGUCAGCAUCGGUUUUGACCGUCGGAAAAGGACUGGAGGAAUGUGGCACUCUUUCGGGAGUGUGUUAUAGACUCUGCUCGAAUACGAUGGUUGGGACCGAGGAACUCAGCACGACCUUAGGGUUCGGGGCUUCGGCCCACGUUUGCGUGCUUAGGAUGCUGGCAUAAUGGCCUUAAGCGACCCGUCUUGAAACACGGACCAAGGAGUCUAACGUGCAU
RNAcentral lists this ribosomal RNA (679 nucleotides) under Rhizopogon variabilisporus. Its description in RNAcentral is "LSU rRNA". It matches the Rfam family "Eukaryotic large subunit ribosomal RNA", at positions 35 to 685 of the family's 3401-position model. Lineage: Eukaryota; Fungi; Basidiomycota; Agaricomycetes; Boletales; Rhizopogonaceae. The record is from RNAcentral.